Molecule: long non-coding RNA, 667 nt
Organism: Pimephales promelas (fathead minnow)
Lineage: Eukaryota; Metazoa; Chordata; Actinopteri; Cypriniformes; Leuciscidae
Source: RefSeq, a predicted model, not a curated record
GGAAACAAAGACACCUACAUCUUGGAUGCCCUUGAGGUGGUGAAGAAAAAGCGAAGUGAUAAAGUUCAUCCACAAAUAGCUUUUCCAUAAGCUGAGAGCAACAAAGGAGAAGGCUUUCCCAGAGUUCAUCUGAAAAGGUAUUGAGCUUGACUGACACAAUCUUACACGGUUCAGGGGAAGUUUAUGGUUGGAUGCAGCCUCCGUCUGUGGUCAGCAAGUCCUCUCUCUGCAAACAGAAACAGCAGAUGAGAGGGGCAGAGAUUCUUGUUCAAUCCUUCAGUGUUUCUAAACAAGGACAUCCAGCAGAGAACUCAGCCAGAGCCACAAUUACCCCCUAAAUGACCCAUUCAGUGGUUUGAAGCUCUUACCAAAAUAACCGUGAACCCUUACUGUGUACUCUGGUUCAGCUUGAAGAGCUAACAGGGUAUUAGGCUACAUGAUUGCAGUGGUGGAAGAGCAGAGAGGUCCUUACACACUCCUCGUUCAGGGUGUCUCUUGCUGAUCCACACCGGAUGAUGGGAUGGGACAGGAACCAAAAUCAAGCAUCGUGUUUAAGCACCUUCAUGAGUUCAACAUUUUUUCUGCAGAAUUUGACCAAAAUGUAAGUUAUUAGACUUACAUUGAGAAUAGAAUAAUUAUUUCAAGUGAAUUUCUUUUUUUCCUACAU